GACGAACGCUGGCGGCGUGCUUAACACAUGCAAGUCGAACGAUGAUGCCCAGCUUGCUGGGCGGAUUAGUGGCGAACGGGUGAGUAACACGUGAGUAACCUGCCCUUGACUUCGGGAUAACUCCGGGAAACCGGGGCUAAUACCGGAUAUGAGCCGUCCUCGCAUGGGGGUGGUUGGAAAGUUUUUCGGUCAGGGAUGGACUCGCGGCCUAUCAGCUUGUUGGUGGGGUGAUGGCCUACCAAGGCGACGACGGGUAGCCGGCCUGAGAGGGCGACCGGCCACACUGGGACUGAGACACGGCCCAGACUCCUACGGGAGGCAGCAGUGGGGAAUAUUGCACAAUGGGCGAAAGCCUGAUGCAGCGACGCCGCGUGAGGGAUGAAGGCCUUCGGGUUGUAAACCUCUUUCAGCAGGGAAGAAGCGCAAGUGACGGUACCUGCAGAAGAAGCGCCGGCUAACUACGUGCCAGCAGCCGCGGUAAUACGUAGGGCGCAAGCGUUGUCCGGAAUUAUUGGGCGUAAAGAGCUCGUAGGCGGUUUGUCGCGUCUGGUGUGAAAACUCGAGGCUCAACCUCGAGCUUGCAUCGGGUACGGGCAGACUAGAGUGCGGUAGGGGAGACUGGAAUUCCUGGUGUAGCGGUGGAAUGCGCAGAUAUCAGGAGGAACACCGAUGGCGAAGGCAGGUCUCUGGGCCGCAACUGACGCUGAGGAGCGAAAGCAUGGGGAGCGAACAGG
This 734-nucleotide ribosomal RNA is filed under the name uncultured Cellulosimicrobium sp. Its description in RNAcentral is "bacterial SSU rRNA". It matches the Rfam family "Bacterial small subunit ribosomal RNA", at positions 28 to 776 of the family's 1533-position model. The record is from RNAcentral. Lineage: Bacteria; Bacillati; Actinomycetota; Actinomycetes; Micrococcales; Promicromonosporaceae.